Molecule: RNA transcript, 3886 nt
Organism: Cygnus olor (mute swan)
Lineage: Eukaryota; Metazoa; Chordata; Aves; Anseriformes; Anatidae
Gene: ZWILCH
Gene name: zwilch kinetochore protein
Exons: 23
Source: RefSeq, a predicted model, not a curated record
GGCGCGGCUGAGGCGGCGACGAUGGCGGCGGGACGCGCGCGGCGGGCGGCGGGGACGGAGCUGUACCGAGAGCUCCUCCGGGUAUAUGAAGAAGGAAAGAAAAGCAUCCCUGAACACCCCUAUCUCUUUGAGAACGAUGUAGAGAUCUGUUUGUUUGGUCGUGGUUGCAAAAGUCCCAUUGAAAGAUUUUGGAAUGGAAGUAGUAUGGUGUAUAUUUUGCAAAAAGCAGGCCACAAUGAGGGAGGUGACCCAAUGGAAGAAUCAAAAUCAGAUGAUGCUCUUUAUGCCUCUGAGCUUUUGCCAAAGGACAGUGCUGGACCAGUCGCUCUUUCUGUUGGAAGGGCAAAGCAGUUGAUUUCCUUAUAUACAAUGGCACAAAAUCCAAACAUGACCCAUUUGAAGACAAGUGAACUGGCUGUGCUUCCUCCCCUCUGGAUAAGGUGUGAUGGCUCUGAUCCAGAGUGUACUUGUUGGCUUGGAGCUGAGCCUCUCAAAGCUGGAAACAAAAUCACAGGGAUCAAUAUCUAUAUGGUUACAUGUAACGGUCCUACAGCUGAUAAAACCUGUUUUGCAAACCUAGAGGAACUCAAAAUGGCACAUAAAGUCAAACACCAUUCAUCUAUUGUGACGACAAAAGGAUUUGCUCAGUAUGAACUUAUUAGAGCUGCUGCAAUAGAGGACACAAUUGUAGAAUCUGAAAGCAAUAUAUGUAUUGACAUUACGUGGAAUACUGUAGAUAAGAUUCUGCAGCCACCCCCACUUACUGCAGCUGCCACACUGAAUAUUUCAUUGGAGUCUGGGGACCCCAGGAGUCCUGUAUAUCCGCUGUAUAGAGAACUGCAGUUUCUCCUUACUUUGGCUGAAGGUUUGAAGACAGGUGUGACUGAAUGGCCUGAGUCCUUAGAGUCCAAAUCAGCUUUUGAACUGGUCCAAGGAUUUCUGACUGAUUUAAAGAAGAAACUGGAUGGCUGUUGUGUAUCAGGAAAUGAGAAUGAAACAGAGAAUAUCAAAUCUGACACUGCUGCAGUGGAUAGUUCAAUAAAAUCAAUCUUCAGUGAACGAGGAGACCUGGAUUUUGCUGAACAAUUAUGGUGCAAAAUGAGAAGUGUCAGUUCCUAUCAGGAGUUGGUAGAGUGUUUCACAUUGAUCAUAAAAUCCCUGAAACAUGGUGAAGUACAGCCAUGGAUUCAUCAAGGGAGUAGCAGUUUGCUAAGUAAAUUGAUUCAGCAGUCUUACCAUGGCAAGAUAGAGGCCGUUUUCCUCAGUGGCAUCACUCCAGUUCAAAUGCUCCUAGAGAUUGGUUUGGAUAAGAUGAAGAAGGAUUACGUCAGCUUUUUCAUAGGUCAGGAACUUGCAACAUUAACCUAUUUGGAUUACUUCAUUUCCACAUCAGUAGAUCUACAAGAACAAGUUCAUCGUGUUCAGAAGCUUCACCAUAUGCUGGAAAUAAUGGUCAGCUGUACAGUCUUACUUCAGUUUAAACAUGAGAACCUCUUCCCUUUGACACAAACUUGUCUGAAAUAUUAUAAGGAAAACCCUCUAAAUGAGAAGCAUGUGUUUCAACUGCCAAUCAGGCCAGCUCUCGUCAAGAAGUUCUAUCAAAAUGAUCACCCAGAAAUAUGGAAGGUGGACAUAAGUAGUGGGCAUGGCCAAAAGGAGGUUAAAACAACAUGGCAAGUUAGUACUAGUCCUCCUGUUGAACAUAUGAUAUCAAACAAUAUAGGUCUCUUGUGCGAUUCUACAGUUAAUGGAAGCACUGAAGAAAGAAUGUAUUUUAUUACAAUGACUAAUUGCAGUCAGGUGCAUUUCACAUAAAUAGAUGUUACUCUCCAGGCAGGCACUGGAAAGCUGUUCGUGCUGCCAACUGACCUGGGCUUCCAGUGAGCCUGCAUUCCCUUGGGACUACCAGGAGGCUCGCCACCGUUUCCAGGGCAUCUGGGAUGCAAUUUGCUGGUGACGUUGGCUGGCACCAUCAGCAGAAUUGUACCAUCCAACUGGCUGGUACCCAGCACGACAGAGAUACUUCUGCUGGCCUGCCACUGCAGGGGAUGCAAAUCUUUCUGUAUCGGGGAGAAUCUGUGUGCUGCUGCUGAAGAGAGGCUCCGUCUUAAAACAACAACAACAACAAACACAGCUCCAGAAGUUUGGAAGAUCUCGUGUUUGAACUGUGCUCCCUGAAAUGAGAUCAAGAAUAGCCGUCAGAUCCUCUCCUCUGAAGAGAGCAUCAUUGAAGAACAGCUUGAGAUAAGCAGUACGAACCAAAAGAACAGAGAGAGAUCCCGGUGGCUGUCAGAUCACAGGUCUCGAUCCCAAGAUCUCAUGGUGCAGUGUGCGGAGUCCUCCAAACCCGUUUUUUCUUCAAACACCCUCCCGCCUCUUUCCAGAGGUCAGAUUACAGCGCGGUCCCACAGGUUGCUGCAUUGAAGGGGUGCAGAGCUUCAGCAGUGGAGUGAGCGGUGCUUCCACCGCCCCCAGAAACGCCUCCUGUCACUGCUGGCAGGACGCAGAGGGUUUCAGGUCGUACUGCUUCCUCUAGCAUCGAUCUCUCUGCGUUUUGUUGGGGGUGGCAUUGCGUAUGUGCGCAUCUUGUUAACGGCCAGAUGUAUACAAAUGAAGAUAAACACUGAAGUAAUUUAAACUUUCAUUUUCAUCUUGCAAUUUCUGUAAUACGAUUAGGGUUUGUACUGAUGCUUCUGAUAAAACUCUCCCACAGUGCAGCUCCGUACCAAGUAGCCAGUGGGUGCCAGGCUACCAGACGCUACCAGGCAGUCUGUCUGCGCCUCUCCGUCUGCCCCCAUCCAUCCCCGUGUCCCACAUCAUUUCAGCUAAUAGAAUUUGCAGAUUAUUGGAGGAGGAAUAGAGGAAUGGGAAGGGUGACUUAUUUCUUAUGUCAUGAUCAUGUGUAUAGCUUCAGUGGGACUGAAGGAAGAAGCAAAAAGAGGGAAAGAAAGAGAAUGCAGGGGAGAUUACAAAACAAAGCAAAGGAGAAAAAAAAACAGGAAGGGGGUGGGAAAUAGAAUUCCAAUGUGUCAUCUCAGUACUGGAUAUUAUUACUCAAAAAUCUAUAUAUAUUUUCUUGGGACAUAUGUAAGAGCCAGUGAGUGAGUCGGGAAGAAUGAAUGUACAAAGCUCUCCUAUCUACUGUAUUUGUUUCUCCUUUGUCUGGGUCUUCCCAGAUGGAAAUGUGCCUUGUGUGCCAUCAGCCCAUCACCCCCGGGUGAUCAGAUAAAACCGGUUUGCAUCAGAGACACUGCUCGUACCCUGCAGCACUGACCUGCAGUUUGCUGUGACCGGGCUGCUGGGUGUUUGGAGGUCGCUGGCAAUGGGCUAGAGCCUUCGGAUUCUGCCUGCACAAAACCUGUGGUCACAAAGGAGGAGGUGUCCAUGUUUUUCAAGACCUGUGUAAGCCACAGAGCUGCCAAAGACAAGCCAGGAUUGCUUCCUAGUGACACGCAGAGACUGCAGUGGCUGUGGCAGUGUUCAUAAAUGUGCGUUCAAAGAACUUCUUGUUUCUGCCCGGUGCAUCUGCUCCAUGCCUCUGCAUGUGAGACCAGCACCAGGGCAACGGAGGAUAACAAAAAGAAGUCAGAAGACAGGAAGAGCAGUAGCAGUUGUCCAAGAAAAGAAACCAAACUGCCUUCCAGCCACAGCAGCUUACCAUGGCUGACACGGCGAGCCUUGGAACAUGAUGACCUCUGUAGACGGCAGCCAGCAGCAAAAACCUGGCUGGACCUGCAGAGAUACAGCACAAUGAAGAGGGCUGGCACUUCGGAUUGCAACAUUGCUGAAACGAAAAGCGUGAACACUACAGGAAUUUCUGCUCUAUGGAAAAAUGUUAUUUUUGGAUUCUUCAGGAAGGCGUGCAUAUAAAACCACCGGUUCCCUG